Molecule: ribosomal RNA, 448 nt
Filed under: uncultured bacterium
Lineage: Bacteria
Description: bacterial SSU rRNA
Rfam family: Bacterial small subunit ribosomal RNA
Source: RNAcentral
ACUCCUACGGGAGGCAGCAGUGGGGAAUCUUGGACAAUGGGCGCAAGCCUGAUCCAGCCAUGCCGCGUGAGUGAUGAAGGCCCUAGGGUCGUAAAGCUCUUUCGCCAGGGAUGAUAAUGACAGUACCUGGUAAAGAAACCCCGGCUAACUCCGUGCCAGCAGCCGCGGUAAUACGGAGGGGGUUAGCGUUGUUCGGAAUUACUGGGGCGUAAAGCGCGCGUAGGCGGACUGGAAAGUUGGGGGUGAAAUCCCGGGGCUCAACCCCGGAACUGCCUCCAAAACUCCCAGUCUUGAGUUCGAGAGAGGUGAGUGGAAUUCCGAGUGUGAGGUGAAAUUCGUAGAUAUUCGGAGGAACACCAGUGGCGAAGGCGGCUCACUGGCUCGAUACUGACGCUGAGGUGCGAAAGUGUGGGGAGCAAACAGGAUUAGAUACCCUGGUAGGAUAGCG